This 50-nucleotide ribosomal RNA is filed under the name Zieria smithii. RNAcentral's name for it is "partial 26S ribosomal RNA". Lineage: Eukaryota; Viridiplantae; Streptophyta; Magnoliopsida; Sapindales; Rutaceae. The record is from RNAcentral.
GCGACCCCAGGUCAGGCGGGACUACCCGCUGAAUUUAAGCAUAUCAAUAA